UGGGGAAUUUUGGACAAUGGGGGAAACCCUGAUCCAGCAAUGCCGCGUGUGCGAAGAAGGCCUUCGGGUUGUAAAGCACUUUUGUCAGGGAAGAAAUCCUUUGGGCUAAUACCCUAGGGGGAUGACGGUACCUGAAGAAUAAGCACCGGCUAACUACGUGCCAGCAGCCGCGGUAAUACGUAGGGUGCAAGCGUUAAUCGGAAUUACUGGGCGUAAAGCGUGCGCAGGCGGUUGUGUAAGACAGGUGUGAAAUCCCCGGGCUUAACCUGGGAAUUGCAUUUGUGACUGCACGACUAGAGUGUGUCAGAGGGGGGUGGAAUUCCACGUGUAGCAGUGAAAUGCGUAGAUAUGUGGAGGAACACCAAUGGCGAAGGCAGCCCCCUGGGAUAACACUGACGCUCAUGCACGAAAGCGUGGGGAGCAAACAGGAUUAGAUACCCUGGUAGUCCACGCCCUAAACGAUGUCAACUAGUUGYUGGGGAUUUACUUGCCUUGGUAACGUAGCUAACGCGUGAAGUUGWCCGCCUGGGGAGUACGGCC
RNAcentral lists this ribosomal RNA (540 nucleotides) under uncultured bacterium. Its description in RNAcentral is "bacterial SSU rRNA". It matches the Rfam family "Bacterial small subunit ribosomal RNA", at positions 355 to 887 of the family's 1533-position model. The record is from RNAcentral.